RNAcentral lists this long non-coding RNA (514 nucleotides) under Zostera marina. RNAcentral describes it as "long non-coding RNA (ZMAR_LNC000250)". The record is from RNAcentral. Lineage: Eukaryota; Viridiplantae; Streptophyta; Magnoliopsida; Alismatales; Zosteraceae.
AUUUUCACAAACACUAUAAAUCUAUGACCGACUAAUAAAUCUUGACCCCGGAUCCCAAAUUGGGUAUGGUAAAAUACCUGAGAAGGGGUCGAGAAGUCGGGUUAGGUCCGCUCCUUAAGAACGAAACUCUUUUGGGGCGGAUGGAUGGUGGUGGCUACCCUACGUGUAUCCUACGUCUGACUAGUCGACUUAUUAGUUGAUUACUGACGAUUUUGACCCUUCAUUUCUUUCAGGGAGGAGGGGAAGGAGGAUAUCUUUAAUGGACUAUGAUCGCGUGGGAAUGUCGUACCUUUGGAUGGACACAAGUAUAUGACGGAUAGAAGCAUAUCUAAACAUUUUGAAGGGUUUCUGCAAUCGAGAUAAGAAAGAGGGGUGUGUGGAAACCUGAAGCUGGACAGAUGAGUUUUUUAGAGAGUGUGUGAGUUACGUUGUGUUUGUUUUUAUUACGAUUUGUGUUAAUUGUAGCCUUCGAGUAUGUCUCUCUAUAUGGGGUCAGAUUCAACAGGGCUCACUG